RNAcentral lists this long non-coding RNA (3102 nucleotides) under Haliotis rubra (blacklip abalone). RNAcentral describes it as "uncharacterized LOC124252650". The record is from RNAcentral. Lineage: Eukaryota; Metazoa; Mollusca; Gastropoda; Lepetellida; Haliotidae.
AAAACCGGCGUGAAACUAAAGUCACUCACUCAGUCAUAUACGAAAUUUUCCGAAUGUCCGAUAUAUACUAGGCAAAAUUAAGCAGUAUUACGACAUUAAAAAUUUAUAGUUUUAGUUUCUGGUGAAAACGAUAUAUUUGUUAAAUUCUGGUCAUCAAUACAUGGUACAUUGAAAAGUUGAUUUAUGUGACUUUACCUCAUUGUCUGUACAUCGUAAAGGAUCAAUGUAUCUUGUGUACCUCAUGUAUGUCAAAUUGUGUAUAUGUAACUGUUGCCAAUGACAAACAGAAUUGUAAAAUUGAAACCAUGAAAAAUAAAAAAUAAAAAUCUUUUAAUAAACAUCAUAUAUAAUUCACUGGUUCUUAAUUGAGUGUACAACUUCGACCCUGGUCAACAAGGUCGACAAUAACCUAUUCUCCCACAUCCUGUAAAUAGAAUACAUGUCAGGUGUUUUGUUAAAAACACAACGAACUCCUGUCAUUGUUACAGGUAAUUUAGCAUCAAACGUGCUCGCACGUCUCUAUUUCUUAUGUCACGUUAAAAACAACAUUACAUCUCAAAAUUUACUGUUGUCCUGGUAUACAACUAAAUGGUUCAUGUACAGUACAUGUGACCGGUCAGAACCAUGGACUGUACUCUAACCCCCUCUAUACUAUACUAUGUAUGUACUGUCUGCGAUGACACGCCUCCCUACGGCAAGUGACCUUGGAGGGUUGUCCAUGUGUUUCUUGCGUGGCUUUAGAGGCUGUUGAAAGUAUAUGGGGCUAUUUAUAUCAUUGUUUACGUCUACUGUCAAUAUUGAGUCAGAUCAUACGAUACACAGGUACUGGUUUCACCGACAUAAAGGAUAUUGUUAUUUGUUCAGGUUUAAAGGGGUGGCUGAAAUUCAUAUAUUCAACUGGUAUUAUGCAUAUGUAAUAUAGGUUUGAGGGUAUAGGAAAAUAUAUGAGGCCUUGUUGCAACCACUCAAGUGUGAAGGGGGCUCUCCUGGGCAGAUAGCUAGCGGUGCACUCAAGCGUUGCGUUUGCACAUUCCUUUCAAAUAGAGCAAGCGUUGACAGGCGACAAGAAAGAAUAGGUUUUGCUAAGUCAUGUCUAACUAAUGUAGCCUGUGGUAGAUGUACCUCAUUGUGAAGAAAUUCUCUUGGCCUGUGUGAAGUGUACUUAGCACACCAUAGCCUUGGGCAAUAAACGUGGGGUAUUGUUCAGGUGUUGUAUUGUCUUUUAUACACAAUGACAAUGGAUAUUUUCAUGCAUUAAACUUGGGCAUGUGUUUUUUAGAGGAUAGGGUUUAGGUAAACAUUUCACAUGACGAAAAACAGCGGAUGGGUUGACCUACUCUACACCAGGAGUUUGUCUAACCAUCUAUAAGUGGUCUGUUCUUCAACAUGGGCUUGUCUCGGUAUCUAUAAGUGGUCUGUUCUUCAACAUGGGCUUGUCUCGGUAUCUAUAAGUGGUCUGUUCUUCACAGGAAUUUGUUUAGGUAUCUUUAAGUGGUCUGUUCUUCAACAGAGCUUGUCCAGGUAUCUGUAAUAUUUGAAUUACGCUAUACCCGGUGCUUGCAUAUGUACCUAUAAUUGGACUGCUCUACACUUGGAGCUUGUUUGGACAUCUCUAUACUAAUCUUGAAUGUCUAAACAUGAUACUGUUAUGCAAGAGCAUGUUGUGUCCCCAAGACAUUGUAGCUGAUAAUUUCUUUUACAAAUUCGUAAUUGGCAUGUUGGAAAUACUUUGCCGUUACGUUGACAUAAGUCUAUCUGAUCUAUCACUUACGACGUUCUGUGCACAGUUAGUGGGAUUGUAUUCUCCACAAGCAACUUUAUCCCAGGGAAAUCCUAUCGUGGCAUACGGUUGAGCCAAUGGUAGUUGUUUUCGACAAUAUUUUGUUAGUUCCCGUUUCUGUUUUGUCAAUUUCAUUUUUUUUGUGAAAGACAAACAAUUAAAUGUGUACGAUGGUGGUGAUUGUUGAUGUUCAUCGACGAAAUAUGUUGGAGAUGUUUACGGGCUUCGAUGGUAACAAAUACUGGCCUUGAUCUCCAGUUUCAUCAUGUAAAGUAUCGUUGGUUAGAACCGACUGGAAGUAAUGGUGGAGUUGUCUCCCUUGUCAGGGUAUGCGUCUCGUUAUUACUCCAGGUGAAAUCCCUCGGUGAUAAACGCGCUUUUCUUGAGCCCAGUUUUAUCCAUUUGAGAUAACUUGGUUUGAUUCAUUGAGCCUUUUGUCGACUUGUGGUACAAAGUUUAUGAGUAAGAUGAAAAAGAAAAAACAACAUUUGUUGACAAUGACUUUUCUUACAAAAUAUUUUUAAAUUUAUAAAACAAUUAGACAGACGUAUACAAAUUACAGUGUCAAUCAUGACAAUCAUGUUUUUAUAGAACGUAGAAUUACAAAUCACAAUAAACAUAAAUAGUGUCAUUUGAUGUAUUUAAAAAAAACGAACAUUUGUUUCAGGGAAGCUGUCACAGAGUGUUACUGAUAUGUAAACAACAUGAUAAUGGACGAAAGAAAUCUCGUGAUUAAUCCUCUGGUAGAUAGCGUCAAGUACGCAUAAAAAUUAUGUUCAUAAAAAUAAACUUAGAGUUGUAAAUACAUUUGCCAACCAUUAGACAUGUUGUAAUACUACUCUACAAAAGACACGGACAUGUCAGCCUGAAUAAGAAACGUGACAUAUGGUAGAAACGGGGUUGGAAAAUAUUCGAGGUUCACAUAGCAACAGUUAUGACAGGAUAUGUUCCAUCGUUGUUAGCCUUGUCAUUGUACUGUUAUAUUCGAGUUACAGUUAUAUUCGAGCGUGUCAGUGUUGUGUUCUGUUUGUAAGUCUAUCAAGUCCCAUCAUGCUGAGAGAACACCCAGGACACUGACUUACCAAACUGUUACACGUUUAGCCCUAGUAUUGUAAAUCUGUAUAAUCAAACACAAUAGAAUUGACAACGUCGGGAAUUGGGAACCUCAUGUAGACAUCUAAAUGUUUUACAAACCAAAUCGUGACUGAAGUCAAUUAAAGUUUUGUUCUCUCCUGAAAUUGACAAUUUUGACGGACAUGUAACUUGAAAUCAGUACAUGUGUACCUGUACAAGGUUACUGAGAUGACAUUGAGUAUUACAAA